GACAGCAGUCGCCGCGGGAAUACGGAAGGUGCGAGCGUUAAUCGGAAUUACUGGGCGUAAAGCGUACGCAGGCGGUUUGUUAAGUCAGAUGUGAAAUCCCCGAGCUUAACUCGGGAACUGCAUUUGAAACUGGCAGGCUAGAGUCUCGUAGAGGGGGGUAGAAUUCCAGGUGUAGCGGUGAAAUGAGUAGAGAUCUUGAGGAAUACCGGUGGCGAAGGCGGCCCCCUGGACGAAGACUGACGCUCAGGUACGAAAGCGUGGGGAGCAAACAGGAUUAGAUACCCCAGUAGUCCCUGUCUCUUAUAC
This 306-nucleotide ribosomal RNA is filed under the name uncultured bacterium. RNAcentral describes it as "partial 16S ribosomal RNA". It matches the Rfam family "Bacterial small subunit ribosomal RNA", at positions 507 to 807 of the family's 1533-position model. The record is from RNAcentral.